RNAcentral lists this long non-coding RNA (4638 nucleotides) under Homo sapiens (human). Its description in RNAcentral is "HSALNT0040356". The record is from RNAcentral. Lineage: Eukaryota; Metazoa; Chordata; Mammalia; Primates; Hominidae.
CCUCCUGGCGCAGACACUUAUUAAAAUACGUGCAUCGAUAGCACACUUCUUUUUCCAGUGGGGCUUAGCAAUUAAGAUCCUCUGUCACUUCUCGGUGGAGAGGUCCUUGAAGCCUGAGACCAUGGUUUACUCAGCUGGUAUCCACUGCUCAGGACAAAGAAGAUGCUCAGCGAUGGUGCUUGAGUGAAUGAAUGAAUGAACCUCAGGACUUGUAUUUUGUUCUCAAGCACUGCUUGUUGAGGUCAUUUUCUUCCCUGCCUGCAGGCUCCUGAGUUACCACACAGCCACCUAAUUUAGUCAGGGGCACUAUGGAGAGGGCCUGGAAACCUGGUUACACAAGUGUUUGGCCUAUUAGUUCUCUAUGGCUGCUGUACCAAGUUAUCACAAACUUAGUGGCUUAAAGCAACACAAAUGUAUUAUCUUACAAUGCUGGAGGUCAGAUGGAGGACACAGGGUUUGAGCUAGCAGGGAUGCAUUCUUUCUUCAGGCUCUAGGAGAGAACCUAUUUCCAUGCCUUUUCUAGUUUCUUAGGGCCAUCCACAUUCCUUGCUCCCAGCCAUUUCUUCCUGUUGCUUCUACCAGCAACAGCGGCUUGAGUCCUUCUUAUACCAUCAUCUCUCCAGGUUUCUCUCUUCUGCAUCCCUCUUCCACUGAAAAAGACCCUGUGAUUCCACUGGGACUACUCCAAAUCCAGGAUAAUCUCCUAUGUCAAGGUCAUCUAAUUAGCAAACUCAACUCCAUCUACAACUUUAAUUCUUCUUUGCCAUGUAAACUGACAUGUUCACAGAUUCUGGGGAGUAGGUCAUGGACAUCUUUAGAGGAGUCCAUUAUUCUGCUUACCACUGCCUGUGAUACACUUCACAUCCCAGAUAGGGAAUCUCUUGGUUACCUUCCCAUAAUUCUCUUCCAUUCCUGUGAAUAACUGAGAGUUAACUGCUGUAAGACUUGCCAUUCAAGCCAAAGACCAGUGUUAGAUCCAGAAAGAACCAGGUGGGUGCUGUGGGUGAACACCUUCCUCUACAAAUGGGGGUGAAAGUAAAUGAGUCAUGUAAGGUGCUGGCUUCUCUUUGGUUCUGAAUCAUGACCACAAAGAUGUACUUGACCACAGAUGAACCAAUCUUGGGUAGAGAUGACUGUUAAUAACCUUGUGCCAGGAGCUCUUUUGCAUAUAUCAUCUCAAUUACCACUAUCACUGCAGGGUAGGUAUUAUUGUCCCCGUGGUUCAGGUAAGGAAACUGAAGUUGAGCCAAAUUAAGGUCAUGCAAUAAGUGGCAGAGCUGAGUUUAGAGCUGGGGCUUAACUGAUUUCACUCAAUUUAUGGUCAGCUCCAGGAAUCCAUUUCUCUUAAAAGUCCUCCUGAGGCCGGGUGCGGUGGCUCAUGCCUGUAAUCUCAGCACUUUGGGAGGCUGAGGCGUGCGGAUCACCUGAGGUCAGGAGUUUAAGAUCAGCCCGGCCAACAUGGUGAAACCCUGUCUCUACUAAAAAUACAAAUAUUAGCCUGGUAUGGUGGCGCAUGCCUGUAAUCCCAGCUACUUGAGAGACUGAGGCAGGAGAAUCGCUUGAACCCGGGAGGUGGAGGUUGCAGUGAGCUGAGAUUGUGCCACUGCACUCUAGGCUGUGCGACAGAGUGAGACUCUAUCUUAGGGGAGAGGCUGUGCACUUGAAUUACCUGGUAUGCUUUUAGAUAAUACCAAUGACCUGCUGCAAAUCAAUUGCAACUGAAUCUCUGGGGGUGGGGCUUGGUUGUCUGCAUUUUUUUGUUAGUUUCCCUAAUUGUAAACUGCGGUUGAGGUUAAGAGGCGCUGCCUUAGGAAGUGCUGUGUGUUCCCUUCAGAACCAGCUUUGUAAGAGCACUUUGUGCUCUUAACCUCAGAGUACCCAGAACUGCCCCCAUCAUGUCCUGUGACUAGGGAAGAAAAGUCCAGCAAGCUGGUUUCUCUCACUCUUUUGGGACUGCACUUCUUGGCAGACUUCUUGAUGAAGUUAUAUGGGAGCCUCUCCGACUGCCCUUCACCCCUUUCUUGACUUAGCCGCUAUCGGUGGGUGCCUUUGCCUGGGUGUCUCGGUCUCCCUAAGUGAACAGGGAAGCAGAGAAACAGCUCCACAGAGUGCAGGAAUAUAUAUGUUGCACUUCAGAGGAUAAAAGUACUUCAUUUUCACUCUCUUCUUCCCCUUCCCCUCAUUGAUUUUAUGUUGGAAUAAGUUCAGUACCAGCAGAAAAUACUAAUUUGCAAAGACAGUGAUUUAAGUGUCUCUCCAGACUUCUUGUUGGUUUAGUAAAUCCACAUAACACUUUAGAGUGGAAAUAACUUGAAUGCUUGCCCAGAAUGGCAGACAUGUGCUGUUGCCAGAAAGAGCAGUCGACUGGGGUAGAGGGAAACGGAGGUUUAGCCAUGUUUUCGUGACAAGUUUGCUGUAUGGCAUCAAGAAGGUAAUUAAAACCUCUAUGCCUUACACAAAAAACAGACCCCAGGAGUGUGGUGGGGUACGUUAGGGGAUUCCUCACCUUUCUAGGCCACGUGUGUUUUAACAUAUUAAGAGUUCUUAUUCGUGAAACACUUCAAGAAUACAGAUUAGAGGAAAUAAUAUAAUGCCUAUAUAUCCAUUGCAAAAUUUAGAUAAUGGUUAUUAUUUUGCCAAAUUCAUUUUAGAUUUCUUUUAAAAAGAGAAAAAUACAUCGAUGCUUACCAACCUACUGUCCCUUUCUUUUUUUUUCCUUCCUUCCUCCAAUAUGACCAUGUACUUGACCUUGAUAUGUUAUUCUCAUGCAAGCUUUUCUGUUUUUUCUGCUUGUGUAUGUAUGUUUAAUUUUGUAUUUUCAAAUUAAUCAUACAUUUUCUUCUGUUUGUGAUUUGAAAAUGCUUUUCUAUCCCAAAUUCAAAAAUAUUUUCCCAUCUUGUAUUUUAAAGCGGUUUCACAGUUUUGCUUCUCAUAUUGAGGUCUUUAACCCAUUUAGAAUAAAUACUUGUAGAGGAUUGCUCGAUGCCAGGAAUUGGAGGCUAAAGUGAUCUAUGAUUGUACCACUGCAAUCCUGCUUGGGCAACAGAGUGAGACCCUGUCUCUAAUAAAUAAAUAAAUAAAAUCGAAUCCAUAUUUGUAAAGUUGUGCAGGAGAAACAAUUUUUUUUCUAUGAUUUCAAUAGUUCAUUCUUUCUCUACUGAUUUAUAAUAUCACCUCUAUUCCGUGUCAGGUCUUUGUAUACGUAGGUCUUUUUUUAUGCUCUGAAUUCAGUUCUAUUGGUCUAAUUGUCUAUUCCUACAACAAUACCACGUGGAUUUAAUUACUGUAACCUCAUAAGUUUUUCAAUUAAUUUUAAAUUGAGAUAUAAUUUGCAUACCAUAAAAUUCACUCCAUUAGAGUAUAAAAUUUGGUGUAUUUGCAGAGUUGUACAACCAUCAUCACUAUUUAAUUGCAGCACAUUUUUAUCACUCCCCAAAGAAACCCUGUACCCAUACAGUCAGUCCUCCUUCCGCCUCCCCCUAGCUUCUGGCAACCAUUAAUCUACUUUCUGUCUCUAUAUAUUUGCCAGUUCUAGUCAUUUCAUAUAAAUGGAACCGUACAAUAUAUGCUCUUUUGUGUUUGGCCUCUUAGCAUUUUUCAAGUUUCAUCCAUGUUGUAGAUUAUAUCAAUACUACAUUCUAUUUUAUGACUAAAUCAUAUUCCGUUGUAUAGAUAGAUGCCAAAUUUUAUCCAUUCAUCAUUGAUGGGCAUUUGGAUUGUCUCCACUUUUUGGCUAUUAUGAAUAAGCCAGCCAGUAUGUACAUUUCUGUACCAGUAUUAGUGUAAACAUAUGUUUUUAUUUCUUUAGGAUAUAUACCUAGGAGUACAAUUACUGGAUCAAAUGGCAACUCUAUGUUCAGCAUUUUGAGAAAACAUCAAAUUAUUUUUCAAGGUGGCCUACCAGUAAUAUAUGAGGGUUCUACUUUCUCUACAUCCUUACCAAUACUUGUCUGUGUUUUUUAUUAUAGUUAUUCUAGUGGAUGUAAAGUCAUAUUGCAUUGCGAUUUUGACUUGUAUUCCCUCCUGACUAAUGAUGUUGGGUGUCUUUUCACGUGCUUAUUGUUCAUUUGCAUACCUUCUUUGGAGAAACGGCUAUUUAAAUCCUUUGUCUCAUUGUAUGUUUUGACAUAUAGUAGAUGGUUCCUUCCUUUUACUUCUUCAAAUUGGUCUUGGCUACUCCUGAUCCUUCACUCUCUCAUAUGAAAUUUAUGAAUGGACUUAUCUCACACAAAAAUUCAUUGGGAUUUAUAAUGGAACCUGAGUGUGUAAUUUGAGAAAGUUGAUUUCUGCAAAUGUCUACAAACGUAAAUAUUGUUGGUUUCGCAUUUUAGUACCAUCUCUGGAAGACCUACCACCAAAUUGUUACAUGAGAGAGAAAGAGACUAAUAGUUUAAACAAACCACUAUAAUAUAGGUCUCUAUUAUACUCAGUGAAAUUCAUAUCCCAAAUAAUAAAUGAUACAUUAUCUAUUUAGAUUCAUUAAAUACACUCUUCAGUUAGUUAAAAAUUAUUUUGUCUAUAAAGACUUUCACAUCACUUGUUAGAUGUAUUUCUAUGUUCUCUAUAUUUUUUGUUGCGAUUGUUACAUGUAUCUUUUUCAAAACCACAUGUUCUGUUAUUGUUGUUAAUAUAUAAGGA